GUGGGGAAUCUUAGACAAUGGGGGAAACCCUGAUCUAGCCAUGCCGCGUGAGCGAUGAAGGCCUUAGGGUUGUAAAGCUCUUUCAGCUGGGAAGAUAAUGACUGUACCAGCAGAAGAAGCCCCGGCUAACUCCGUGCCAGCAGCCGCGGUAAUACGGAGGGGGCUAGCGUUGUUCGGAAUUACUGGGCGUAAAGCGCACGUAGGCGGACCGGAAAGUCAGAGGUGAAAUCCCAGGGCUCAACCGUGGAACUGCCUUUGAAACUCCUGGUCUUGAGGUCGAGAGAGGUGAGUGGAAUUCCGAGUGUAGAGGUGAAAUUCGUAGAUAUUCGGAGGAACACCAGUGGCGAAGGCGGCUCACUGGCUCGAUACUGACGCUGAGGUGCGAAAGCGUGGGGAGCAAACAGGAUUAGAAACCCGAGUAGUCC
This 425-nucleotide ribosomal RNA is filed under the name uncultured bacterium. RNAcentral describes it as "partial 16S ribosomal RNA". It matches the Rfam family "Bacterial small subunit ribosomal RNA", at positions 354 to 796 of the family's 1533-position model. The record is from RNAcentral.